This 627-nucleotide ribosomal RNA is filed under the name uncultured Gammaproteobacteria bacterium. RNAcentral's name for it is "partial 16S ribosomal RNA". The record is from RNAcentral. Lineage: Bacteria; Pseudomonadati; Pseudomonadota; Gammaproteobacteria.
ACGCGUUGGGAGCUCUCCCAUAUGGUCGACCUGCAGGCGGCCGCGAAUUCACUAGUGAUUCGUAUUACCGCGGCUGCUGGCACAGAGUUAGCCGGUGCUUAUUCUGUCGGUAACGUCAAAACAGCAAAGUAUUAAUUUACUGCCCUUCCUCCCAACUUAAAGUGCUUUACAAUCCGAAGACCUUCUUCACACACGCGGCAUGGCUGGAUCAGGCUUUCGCCCAUUGUCCAAUAUUCCCCACUGCUGCCUCCCGUAGGAGUCUGGACCGUGUCUCAGUUCCAGUGUGACUGAUCAUCCUCUCAGACCAGUUACGGAUCGUCGCCUUGGUGAGCCAUUACCCCACCAACUAGCUAAUCCGACCUAGGCUCAUCUGAUAGCGCAAGGCCCGAAGGUCCCCUGCUUUCUCCCGUAGGACGUAUGCGGUAUUAGCGUCCGUUUCCGAACGUUAUCCCCCACUACCAGGCAGAUUCCUAGGCAUUACUCACCCGUCCGCCGCUCUCAAGAGAAGCAAGCUUCUCUCUACCGCUCGACUUGCAUGUGUUAGGCCUGCCCCCAGCGUUCAAUCUGAGCCAUGAUCAAACUCUAAUCGAAUUCCCGCGGCCGCCAUGGCGGCCGGGAGCAUGCGAC